AUUGAACGCUGGCGGCAGGCCUAACACAUGCAAGUCGAGCGGAUGAAGGGAGCUUGCUCCUGGAUUCAGCGGCGGACGGGUGAGUAAUGCCUAGGAAUCUGCCUGGUAGUGGGGGAUAACGUCCGGAAACGGGCGCUAAUACCGCAUACGUCCUGAGGGGGAAAGGGGGGGUUCUUGGGACCUCCCGCUACCGAAUGAGCCUAGGUCGGAUUAGCUAGUUGGUGGGGUAAAGGCCUACCAAGGCGACGAUCCGUAACUGGUCUGAGAGGAUGAUCAGUCACACUGGAACUGAGACACGGUCCAGACUCCUACGGGAGGCAGCAGUGGGGAAUAUUGGACAAUGGGCGAAAGCCUGAUCCAGCCAUGCCGCGUGUGUGAAGAAGGUCUUCGGAUUGUAAAGCACUUUAAGUUGGGAGGAAGGGCAGUAAGUUAAUACCUUGCUGUUUUGACGUUACCAACAGAAUAAGCACCGGCUAACUUCGUG
This 484-nucleotide ribosomal RNA is filed under the name uncultured bacterium. Its description in RNAcentral is "partial 16S ribosomal RNA". It matches the Rfam family "Bacterial small subunit ribosomal RNA", at positions 30 to 507 of the family's 1533-position model. The record is from RNAcentral.